This 333-nucleotide ribosomal RNA is filed under the name uncultured soil bacterium. Its description in RNAcentral is "bacterial SSU rRNA". It matches the Rfam family "Bacterial small subunit ribosomal RNA", at positions 26 to 345 of the family's 1533-position model. The record is from RNAcentral.
AGAGUGAACGCUGGCGGUAGGCCUAACACAUGCAAGUCGAACGGCAGCACAGUAGGAGCUUGCUCUUACGGGUGGCGAGUGGCGGACGGGUGAGGAAUACAUCGGAAUCUACCUUUUGGUGGGGGAUAACGUAGGGAAACUUACGCUAAUACCGCAUACGCCCUUCGGGGGAAAGCCGGGACCAGCAAUGGCCUGGUGCUGAUAGAUGAGCCGAUGUCGGAUUAGCGUAGUGGUGAGGUAAUGGCUCACCAAGGCGACGAUCCGUAGCUGGUCUAGAGAGGAUGACUCAGCCACGACUGGGAACUGAAGACCACGGUACCGACGUACUCCGUA